RNAcentral lists this ribosomal RNA (454 nucleotides) under Xanthomonas sp. EP_L_24. Its description in RNAcentral is "bacterial SSU rRNA". It matches the Rfam family "Bacterial small subunit ribosomal RNA", at positions 48 to 489 of the family's 1533-position model. Lineage: Bacteria; Pseudomonadati; Pseudomonadota; Gammaproteobacteria; Lysobacterales; Lysobacteraceae. The record is from RNAcentral.
CUAAAACAUGCAAGUCGAACGGCAGCACAGUAAGAGCUUGCUCUUAUGGGUGGCGAGUGGCGGACGGGUGAGGAAUACAUCGGAAUCUACUCUUUCGUGGGGGAUAACGUAGGGAAACUUACGCUAAUACCGCAUACGACCUACGGGUGAAAGCGGAGGACCUUCGGGCUUCGCGCGAUUGAAUGAGCCGAUGUCGGAUUAGCUAGUUGGCGGGGUAAAGGCCCACCAAGGCGACGAUCCGUAGCUGGUCUGAGAGGAUGAUCAGCCACACUGGAACUGAGACACGGUCCAGACUCCUACGGGAGGCAGCAGUGGGGAAUAUUGGACAAUGGGCGCAAGCCUGAUCCAGCCAUGCCGCGUGGGUGAAGAAGGCCUUCGGGUUGUAAAGCCCUUUUGUUGGGAAAGAAAAGCAGUCGGUUAAUACCCGAUUGUUCUGACGGUACCCAAAGAAUAA